This 382-nucleotide ribosomal RNA is filed under the name uncultured bacterium. RNAcentral describes it as "partial 16S ribosomal RNA". It matches the Rfam family "Bacterial small subunit ribosomal RNA", at positions 338 to 737 of the family's 1533-position model. The record is from RNAcentral.
CCUACGGGAGGCAGCAGUGGGGAAUAUUGCACAAUGGGGGAAACCCUGAUGCAGCGACGCCGCGUGAAGGAAGAAGUAUUUCGGUAUGGAAACUUCUAUCAGCAGGGAAGAAAAGGACGGUACCUGACUAAGAAGCCACGGCUAACUACGUGCCAGCAGCCGCGGGAAUACGUAGGGGGCAAGCGUGAUCCGGAUUUACUGGGUGUAAAGGGAGCGUAGGCGGCGAGGCAAGGCAGAAGUGAAAGCCCGGGGCUCAACGCCGGGACUGCUUUUGAAACUGUGUUGCUAGAUUGCCGGAGAGGUCAGUGGCCUUCCUAUUGUAGCCGUGCAAUUCGUAGAUAUUAGGAGUACCCCCAGUGGCGAAGGCGGCUUACUGGACUGU